GCAACCAGGACCAGAGUGUGUACAAUUCUGGAAAGAGAGAAACCUGCAUUGGUGAUCUGAGAAUUUGAGGCCCUCACUGGUGAUGUCUACCGGCUCUUGUUCAGCUGUUUGGCUGUUUCAACAGUUUUGGAGCCUGGCUGGGAACUAGUCCUGGAGGGGAGAAACCCAGAGAGGGGGAAAAGGAACCGAAGGAGCUUGAUGUGAGGCUGGACCCUGGGACCCUGAACUGAUAUCAAGCGUUGAA
Hyaena hyaena (striped hyena) is the source of this 244-nucleotide long non-coding RNA. RefSeq lists it as uncharacterized. The record is from RefSeq and is a predicted model, not a curated record. The transcript is spliced from 3 exons. NCBI's taxonomy places the organism in Eukaryota, Metazoa, Chordata, Mammalia, Carnivora, Hyaenidae.